RNAcentral lists this ribosomal RNA (838 nucleotides) under Xenorhabdus miraniensis. RNAcentral describes it as "bacterial LSU rRNA". It matches the Rfam family "Bacterial large subunit ribosomal RNA", at positions 1115 to 1934 of the family's 2925-position model. Lineage: Bacteria; Pseudomonadati; Pseudomonadota; Gammaproteobacteria; Enterobacterales; Morganellaceae. The record is from RNAcentral.
GCCAUCAUUUAAAGAAAGCGUAAUAGCUCACUGGUCGAGUCGGCCUGCGCGGAAGAUGUAACGGGGCUAAACCAUGCACCGAAGCUGCGGCAGCGGCACGAAUGUGUUGUUGGGUAGGGGAGCGUUCUGUAAGCCUGCGAAGGUGUGCCGUGAGGCAUGCUGGAGGUAUCAGAAGUGCGAAUGCUGACAUAAGUAACGAUAAAGCGGGUGAAAAACCCGCUCGCCGGAAGACCAAGGGUUCCUGUCCAACGUUAAUCGGGGCAGGGUGAGUCGACCCCUAAGGCGAGGCCGACAGGCGUAGUCGAUGGGAAACAGGUUAAUAUUCCUGUACUCGGUGUUACUGCGAAGGGGGGACGGAGAAGGCUAGGCCAGCCGGGCGACGGUCGUCCCGGUUUAAGCGUGUAGGUGUGUGCUCCUGGCAAAUCCGGAGUACUGCAACACUGAGGCGUAAUGACGAGGCACUACGGUGCUGAAGUGGUUGAUGCCCUGCUUCCAGGAAAAGCCUCUAAGCACCAGGUAACACUGAAUCGUACCCCAAACCGACACAGGUGGUCAGGUAGAGAAUACUCAGGCGCUUGAGAGAACUCGGGUGAAGGAACUAGGCAAAAUGGUGCCGUAACUUCGGGAGAAGGCACGCUGGCAUUAGGUGAAGAGACAUGCGCUCGGAGCUGAAGCCAGUCGCAGAUACCAGCUGGCUGCAACUGUUUAAUAAAAACACAGCACUGUGCAAACACGAAAGUGGACGUAUACGGUGUGACGCCUGCCCGGUGCUGGAAGGUUAAUUGAUGGGGUCAGCCGCAAGGCGAAGCUCUUGAUCGAAGCCCCAGUAAACGGCGGC